AAAAUUUUAGUUUAAAUAAAACUUUUCUUUUACACUGAAACAAUUUAAAAUUAAUUUUUGAAAUUUUA
Molecule: transfer RNA, 68 nt
Filed under: Andrena labiata
Lineage: Eukaryota; Metazoa; Arthropoda; Insecta; Hymenoptera; Andrenidae
Description: tRNA-Val
Source: RNAcentral